GACGAACGCUGGCGGCGUGCUUAACACAUGCAAGUCGAACGGAAAGGCCUGCUUUCCCUUGUGGAUUGCGGGUACUCGAGUGGCGAACGGGUGAGUAACACGUGAGUGAUCUGCCCCCAACUUGGGUAUAAGCCUGGGAAACUGGGUCUAAUUCCCGAUAGGACUGCAGGGUGGUGCCUGUGGUGGAAAACGAUUUUCUAGUGGUUGGGGAUGAGCUCGCGGCCUAUCAGCUUGUUGGUGGGGUAAUGGCCUACCAAGGCGGCGACGGGUAGCCGGCCUGAGAGGGGGGACGGCCACAUUGGGACUGAGAUACGGCCCAGACUCCUACGGGAGGCAGCAGUGGGGAAUAUUGCACAAUGGGCGGAAGCCUGAUGCAGCGACGCCGCGUGGGGGAUGACGGCCUUCGGGUUGUAAACUCCUUUCGACCGAGAGGAAGCCACCUGGUUGGAAGGGUGGUGACGGUAGUGGUAGAAGAAGCACCGGCUAACUACGUG
Molecule: ribosomal RNA, 494 nt
Filed under: uncultured bacterium
Lineage: Bacteria
Description: partial 16S ribosomal RNA
Rfam family: Bacterial small subunit ribosomal RNA
Source: RNAcentral